RNAcentral lists this ribosomal RNA (490 nucleotides) under uncultured bacterium. RNAcentral describes it as "partial 16S ribosomal RNA". It matches the Rfam family "Bacterial small subunit ribosomal RNA", at positions 30 to 507 of the family's 1533-position model. The record is from RNAcentral.
AUUGAACGCUGGCGGCAGGCCUAACACAUGCAAGUCGAACGGUAACAGGAAGAAGCUUGCUUCUUUGCUGACGAGUGGCGGACGGGUGAGUAAUGUCUGGGAAACUGCCUGAUGGAGGGGGAUAACUACUGGAAACGGUAGCUAAUACCGCAUAACGUCGCAAGACCAAAGAGGGGGACCUUCGGGCCUCUUGCCAUCGGAUGUGCCCAGAUGGGAUUAGCUAGUAGGUGGGGUAACGGCUCACCUAGGCGACGAUCCUUAGCUGGUCUGAGAGGAUGACCAGCCACACUGGAACUUGGACACGGUCCAGACUCCUACGGGAGGCAGCAGUGGGGAAUAUUGCACAAUGGGCGCAAGCCUGAUGCAGCCAUUCCGCGUGUAUGAAGAAGGCCUUCGGGUUUUAAAGUUCUUUCAGCGGGGAGGAAGGGAGUAAAGUUAAUACCUUUGCUCAUUGACGUUACCCGCAGAAGAAGCACCGGCUAACUCCGUG